CUCUAAUUGAAAGGUGAGGUCACAGGGAAUGCCCAUGUGCUGGGGUUCUAUGUUGUUUAAGUUCUUUAUGUUCUAACUUGAAAAACGAAAGAAAGCAAAGAGUCAACUAUGCAUAAUACUAUAGAAAGAAGAAUUACCUGACAAUUCUCAGGGUUUCUUUUAAUUGGUUGCCUUUUGAAGGUCAGAGUAUGAUGCUCUAAGCAUUUAUGUGACUUAAAAAGUUUGGAGAUUUCUGAUUCCAAAGCUGAAAACAGCUUGAAGAAGCUUUAUUUUUUAAAAAAUUGAAAUGGCCAAAUCUUGGACUAUUUUAAACACCUGUAAGCACAGUGAAUAAGGCGAAGUCAAGUGGGGUUGAUGGGAAGGGGACAUGGCAGGCUAAGCUGAAUAGAAUAACAGAAAUGAUAGAUUUCCUGUGUUCAUCAAGGCCCAAUACCACGAUGUUUCCAGAAUUACUUUUUGAAUAUCUUGAAUAUCAUGCACUAAGUAUACUACAUUCAUACACUUACAGACUUAUAGCUUCAGCCACAGAGUGAGCAAUGUGACAUCAUGCUGUCAAUGCAAAUUGACUCAAUAGUAUUGAAUCCUGAAACUGUCACUCACUAUGACCUAUGCAAUUUGUAUUUAUUCAACAAGUGUUUAUUAAGCACCUACUAUAAACUGUAUGCUAUACUAAGCACUGUGGAUACAAAGUCAGACGACACAUUGCCCUGGAGUAGUAUAGUGAUUGGCAAACUACAGUCCACGGGCAAUAUAUGGUCCACCCACCUGUUUUUGUACAGCCUUCAAGCUAAGAAUGGCAUUUACAUUUUUAAAUGGUUGAAAAAACUUUAAAAAAUAUUUUGUAACACAUGAAAAUUAUACAAAAUUCCAAUUUCAGCAUCCAUAAAUAAAGAUUUCUUGGAACACAGCCAUCCUUUUCCAUUAUAGUAUUCUCUGUGGUUGCUUUUGCACUAUAAUAGCAGAAUUGAGUAGUUGUGACAGAGACUACAGGCUUGCAAAACCUAAAAUAUAUACUGCCUUGCCCUGUAUAUAAUAAGUUUGCCAACACCUGGUCUGUUAGGACGUCCAAUUACAAUGCAGUUUAUUGUCCUAUGAGCAGACACAGGUUGCCAUGGGAAUAUGUAAGAGGGGACACUUAACCCAGACUUGGAAAGUGAGAAAUAUCUCCCUGGUGGAGGUGGCACCUGAGCUGAGGCCCUGAGGACAGGAGUAAGUUACACCAAAAACGGGGGUGAAGGGCAGCAGAAAUAACACGAAUAAGUCAGGGAAGCUGAGGAACGUAUGGCAUCCAGACGUGCUAGUGGUCCAGUACAGCUAGAACACGGGUGUCUAGAGAACACGAGUUUAGCCAGGUAGGCUAGGGCACCUUGUGGGUCUCUCAAAGGCAUUGGAGAGGCAAUGAAAGAUUUUAAGCAUGGGAAUGACACAACGGAUUUUUUUUCCCCAGAAAGAUCAGUCUAGAGUUAGUGAAAGAAUGGAGGAGAAGAAGGGGCAAGAGUGGUGUGGUAAAGACCAGUUAGGACACUGUUAGCAAUAAACCAGGUGAGAAAAUAAGGUGGUCUGAGCACAGGCUGUGGAGGUGUGGGUGGAGAGGAUGGACACGUUGGACAGACAUAUAUAAGGCAGAUCAAUGGAACUGGGUACAGGAAGAAGGAAGUGAGGCAGAAUAAGCACAGCCACUCUCAGAUGUUUGAUCUGGCAGAAUUAGGGGAUGAAUGGUUCAGCUAUUUAACGGGUAAGGAAACCAGGAACAAGAGCAGAUAUGGGGAAGGAAUGGGGUCGGUUUUGGGUAAGUUCAUUUAGAUGUACUUUGGUACGUCCAUGUGGAGGUGUCCAGUCACCUGUUGGAUAUAUGUGUCGACCUGGAAUGGAGAUCAUAGAAGGCACUCAGCAGUGAAAAUUUAAAAAUCAGUCUGGCAGACAAGAUUUUGGUCUCUAUAGUCAGUCCAAGUCAUGUCUUCUGAUUCUGCCACUUAAUAGCUGUGUGUUCCCUUCCUACACCUCAGUAUCCUCAUCUGUACAAUAGGAGGAAUACUACCACUAACUUCAAAGGUUGCUAUGGGAGUUAUUAUAAAUGAGAUAAUACAGGUAGCACUUAGUACAGUGUUUCGCACAUAAUUGCUCAAAAAUAUUAUUGUGGCAUAAUCAUAAUCUAGGAUAGAUGCACUUUCUAAAUUUAUUAAACCUUGGUUUAUUCAUUGUAAAUUGGGGAUUACGUUUUUCUCAUUAGGAUCAUGAAUGAAUGGGAGAAAAAGGGCUGUGGAACAAAGCAAAAGCAGACUAGAUCUCUCUUCAAGAUAACCUGCUCCAAGGAAAGUAAGUGGCAACCUUCAACAGCUACCCUAGUAGACCGGCUGUAGCCCUGACCCCAAACUACGCUCUCAGCAGCUCCCAGCCAAUGACUAAGCAUGGUGUGGAGCUACUGACGUCACAGCAUCUUUGCCCAACAUCGGACACCUCUGGAGGGAAAUCUUGUCUCUGGGGUUCCCAUCAGCCUGGCCAAGACUUUUUCAGAGCUGCAUUGGGAUCUGAGGCUCAUCCCACCUGCUCCUCCUUCCCGCCUCUCUCUGUUCCACAGGUGUCAGGUUCGCAUGGCAUCUGCCUCUCUCCUGCUCCCAUUCCCUCGCUCAUCUAUUCCUCACAAGUGUUUCCCCCAAUAAAUCUCUUAUAUGCCUAGGUCCAUGUUGGUGUCUGCUUUCUAUGUGACCUGAACAAAGCUUUGAAGGAGUUUAAAAGGUUAGCCAGGCAGAUCAUCUGGGAGAAGAGCAUUCAGGAAGAGGGGGGAGCCCGAGGAAGUUCCCAUGUCAGGGCACCUGGCCCUUCUCAGGAGCAGAAGGA
Molecule: non-coding RNA, 2838 nt
Organism: Microcebus murinus (gray mouse lemur)
Lineage: Eukaryota; Metazoa; Chordata; Mammalia; Primates; Cheirogaleidae
Source: RefSeq, a predicted model, not a curated record